GACGUAGGGCGCGAGCGUUGUCCGGAUUUAUUGGGCGUAAAGAGCUCGUAGGCGGUUUGUCGCGUCUGCUGUGAAAACCCGAGGCUCAACCUCGGGCCUGCAGUGGGUACGGGCAGACUAGAGUGCGGUAGGGGAGAUUGGAAUUCCGGGUGUAGCGGUGGAAUGCGUAGAGAUCCGGAAGAACACCAGUGGCGAAGGCGGGUCUCUGGACAGUUCCUGACACUGAGGCACGAAGGCCAGGGGAGCAAACGGG
RNAcentral lists this ribosomal RNA (253 nucleotides) under uncultured bacterium. Its description in RNAcentral is "partial 16S ribosomal RNA". It matches the Rfam family "Bacterial small subunit ribosomal RNA", at positions 524 to 776 of the family's 1533-position model. The record is from RNAcentral.